UGGGGAAUAUUGGACAAUGGGCGCAAGCCUGAUCCAGCCAUGCCGCGUGUGUGAAGAAGGCCUUUUGGUUGUAAAGCACUUUAAGCGAGGAGGAGGCUACUUGGAUUAAUACUCUAGGAUAGUGGACGUUACUCGCAGAAUAAGCACCGGCUAACUCUGUGCCAGCAGCCGCGGUAAUACAGAGGGUGCGAGCGUUAAUCGGAUUUACUGGGCGUAAAGCGUGCGUAGGCGGCUUUUUAAGUCGGAUGUGAAAUCCCUGAGCUUAACUUAGGAAUUGCAUUCGAUACUGGGAAGCUAGAGUAUGGUAGAGGAUGGUAGAAUUCCAGGUGUAGCGGUGAAAUGCGUAGAGAUCUGGAGGAAUACCGAUGGCGAAGGCAGGCAUCUGGCCUAAUACUGACGCUGAGGUACGAAAGCAUGGGGAGCAAACAGG
This 430-nucleotide ribosomal RNA is filed under the name bacterium. RNAcentral describes it as "partial 16S ribosomal RNA". It matches the Rfam family "Bacterial small subunit ribosomal RNA", at positions 355 to 776 of the family's 1533-position model. The record is from RNAcentral.